Molecule: ribosomal RNA, 217 nt
Filed under: Campeiostachys nutans
Lineage: Eukaryota; Viridiplantae; Streptophyta; Magnoliopsida; Poales; Poaceae
Description: Elymus nutans partial small subunit ribosomal RNA
Rfam family: Eukaryotic small subunit ribosomal RNA (bases 44-217)
Source: RNAcentral
GGGUUAGUAGGUUGGUCGUGCCUCUGGUAUGUACUGGUCUCACUGAUUCCUCCUUCCUGAUGAACCUUAAUGCCAUUAAUUUGGUGUCGUGGGGAAUCAGGACUGUUACUUUGAAAAAAUUAGAGUGUUUAAAGCAGACUAUCGUCUGAAUACAUCAGCAUGGAAUAAUGAAAUAGGACGGACUGAUUCUAUUUCGUUGGUUUCUAGGAUCACCGUA